Molecule: long non-coding RNA, 236 nt
Filed under: Malus domestica (apple)
Lineage: Eukaryota; Viridiplantae; Streptophyta; Magnoliopsida; Rosales; Rosaceae
Description: long non-coding RNA (MDOM_LNC014996)
Source: RNAcentral
AUUGAAAGGAAAAUCUAAAUAUAGGGGGAUUAUGCAUCAUGGGGAAUGUUUUCAUGCUUCAAGGUUUUUUCAAAUAUCUUAAUUUAUUUUAGAAGAACAUGAUUGGCAGAAAAUAAUUGAAAGUCUUUGAUGUUGUAGACGAAAGCCUCCUUCACCUAGCAAGAGCAUGCUGAUAACAUGUUGUAAGCCUAUUUGACUGAACUUUAUUUAGGACAGAGAGGGAGAGAGACCAGUGG